AGACUUUGAUUAUGGCUCAGAUUGAACGCUAGCGGGAUGCUUUACACAUGCAAGUCGAACGGCAGCAUGAGAGAGCUUGCUCUCUUGAUGGCGAGUGGCGGACGGGUGAGUAAUGUAUCGGAACGUGCCCGGUAGUGGGGGAUAACUACGCGAAAGCGUGGCUAAUACCGCAUAUUCUCUACGGAGGAAAGAGGGGGAUCGUAAGACCUCUUGCUACCGGAGCGGCCGAUAUCAGAUUAGCUAGUUGGUGGGGUAACGGCCUACCAAGGCGGUGAUCUGUAGCUGGUUUGAGAGGACGACCAGCCACACUGGGACUGAGACACGGCCCAGACUCCUACGGGAGGCAGCAGUGGGGAAUUUUCGACAAUGGGGGGAACCCUGAUCGAGCCAUCUCGCGUGUGGGGACGAAAGGCCCUUCGGGUUGUAAACCCACUUUUUCUCAACCAAAAAAAAAGUCUUAAGGCUUAAUACCUUAAGAAUGCUUUACC
Molecule: ribosomal RNA, 488 nt
Filed under: uncultured bacterium
Lineage: Bacteria
Description: partial 16S ribosomal RNA
Rfam family: Bacterial small subunit ribosomal RNA
Source: RNAcentral